UUUUGAUCCUUCGAUGUCGGCUCUUCCUAUCAUUGAGACGCAGAAGUCUCAAAGUGUCGGAUUGUUCACCCGCCAAUAGGGAACGUGAGCUGGGUUUAGACCGUCGUGAGACAGGUUAGUUUUACCCUACACUAAUGAGUAGAUUUUAAAUCUCUUUACGAGUAUCAAUUGGAGGGCAAGUCUGGUGCCAGCAGCCGCGGUAAUUCCAGCUCCAAUAGCGUAUAUUAAAGUUGUUGCGGUUAAAAAGCUCGUAGUUGGAUUUCUGCCUUGGGCGACCGAUCCACCUUUCCUACGGGAUUGGUUGGUAUCAGGUUUGACCUUGGCUUUUUCUUGGGAUUCGUGCUCACGUACUUAACUGUGCGUUGACCGUGUUCCAAGACUUUUACUUUGAGGAAAUUAGAGUGUUUCAAGCAGGCUUAUGCCAUGAAUACAUUAGG
This 437-nucleotide non-coding RNA is filed under the name Perkinsus marinus ATCC 50983. Its description in RNAcentral is "Eukaryotic small subunit ribosomal RNA". The stretch from base 1 to 130 matches the Rfam family "Eukaryotic large subunit ribosomal RNA", at positions 2868 to 2997 of the family's 3401-position model. The record is from Rfam by way of RNAcentral. Lineage: Eukaryota; Perkinsozoa; Perkinsida; Perkinsidae.